UCAUUGCACACACAGAGAGCAGCAGCAAACCCCCCGUCUUUGGCGAACUUCAUGAAUGUCCCCCCUCGGCCGGUGUCCUCCCCCUCCCUUCCCUGCUAGCCAGCCUGCCUGCAGCAGAUGGUUGGUUGGUUGGUCGGGGGCCCGUGCCGAGCCCGAGUCCCCCCUCCUCCCCCCCAAAUCGGUGGUACCCUCCCGGUCUGGCGUGUGUUGGUCGGGGGACUUGGUGACAAAACCGAUGGCGCAAUGCACCAACACCUUCAAAAUAUGACUGAGUAUGGAAAAACCGGGGGGGCGUGCGUGCGCGCCCCCCCCGAGUUGUGAAAAUAAACAAGAACAACUCUCAGCAACGGAUAUCUUGGCUCCUGCAACGAUGAAGAACGCAGCGAAAUGCGAUACGUAGUGUGAAUUGCAGAAUUCCGCGAAUCAUCGAGUCUUUGAACGCAAGUUGCGCCCGAGGCUUGCCCUGGGGCAUUUCUGUCAGAGCGUCACCGCGACACCCACCGACCCCCACUCCCUCUUGGAUGAAUGAGUGGGGGCCGAGUGAAAGUGGCCAUCCGAGCGGCUCCUCCUCCUCCUCCAAUGGUGGAGAGAGAGAGAGAGGCGCUGGGUUGGCUGAAAUGGAGGGAAUUCUGUGCCGCCGUGGCGACACGGCCCGCGAUCAGGUGAUGAUCCAAGUCUCGUUUCUUGGAACUCAAUGUGUGUUGGCCGUGUCUCCCCCCCAACUCAGUGUUGGUUGUUGGUGCCGAGGAUUCCAGAGCAGGUCCCUCCUCCUUCAGAAUUUUGAAGGAGUCGGAAAUCGUGUCACGCAUA
RNAcentral lists this ribosomal RNA (810 nucleotides) under Grimmia crinita. RNAcentral describes it as "eukaryotic LSU rRNA". The stretch from base 336 to 488 matches the Rfam family "5.8S ribosomal RNA". The record is from RNAcentral. Lineage: Eukaryota; Viridiplantae; Streptophyta; Bryopsida; Grimmiales; Grimmiaceae.